UACGAACACUCUUGGUAGGACAUCGAUUCAAGAGGUACGUUGCUGUUGCUAUAGCUUCAGCCCAAAAUGCUCGAGAUCCAGUAUGACGAAAAGAGGCCGACCUUCAAAAGCCAACCAACCCAGGCCGCAGCGAAGCUGCCUAGAUUGGACAUUGACGAAGCGGUCGAUGAUGUUAUUCCAAUUGCGAUUGCGCAAAAGUUCCGGGAGAGAUUGGCUAAGCCAAGGGCCGAGACGAGUACCGUUUAUGAAGAGGCAGAGCAAAGGAAACCGAGGGGGAAGAAAGUCGAACAUCUCUAUUGUCGACGGACCCCAACCGAGUUUUUGAACUGGUUAAAAAGCCUAACUCCACGGCAGAAGGAAGCCGUUCGAGAACUGGGUUUCAGAGCUAUCAUCCAUUUCAAUAUAAAGAAAAUUCUAGGAUAUCUAGCCUAUUGGGUUCUAAACACAUUUAAUCUAGCUCGGUGCCAGAUUCCAUUAUCGGGUGGUGAGAGCCAAACCCUGGAUGAGGAGGACGUGCAUCUGACGUUAGGCUUUCCAAGAGGUCCAACACCCAUUUCACGCCCAAUCGACAAACAAAGCAACUUCGAGUUCAAUGACUAUGCUGCAGCACGGUGUCAUAAGGGAUGGUUCAAAAUGACCCUAAAGAUAUUGCGCAGAUGAUGAUGCAGGACGUUGAUGGGGGGCCAGAUUUCAAGAAACUCUUCAUGUUCAUGCUUGAAAAUGCCGUUAUAGAGACUCCGGCCGACGACAAUUGCAAGCCAAAGAUUCUGCAUUUCAUCGACGAUGUUGAUGAGACUAGGAACUUGAAUUGGUGCGGUUACGUCUUAUUCGUUCUUGAGGUCACGUAUCCUAGUUGGGCAAACAGUC
Salvia splendens (bonfire salvia) is the source of this 867-nucleotide long non-coding RNA. RefSeq lists it as uncharacterized. The transcript has 3 exons. The record is from RefSeq and is a predicted model, not a curated record. NCBI's taxonomy places the organism in Eukaryota, Viridiplantae, Streptophyta, Magnoliopsida, Lamiales, Lamiaceae.